Molecule: non-coding RNA, 108 nt
Organism: Cerioporus squamosus
Lineage: Eukaryota; Fungi; Basidiomycota; Agaricomycetes; Polyporales; Polyporaceae
Source: the annotation of a GenBank genome assembly
GACAUCAUAGCCAAGCGGUUACGGCGACAGAUUCGAAUGUUUCAACCACGGAGAAAUGCGGUUAUCUGUUUCCCUUUGGGAGCGCAGGUUCGAAUCCUGCUGGUGUCG